UUAGUAGUGUUAAGUAUAUUUGCAUUAUUAUGGAAGCUGUCAUUUUAAUGGACUGUUUUUCAGCCAACUUCUUUGUGAUCUAUUUACUCAUACUACAAUGCACAGCAAGACUCUUAACUUCUAUCAUCUGGACACAAAAAAGAGAGAGAGUUAGGCGAGAGGUAGGCGAGAUACAGGGCUCAAUCCCAG
This 189-nucleotide long non-coding RNA is filed under the name Mustela putorius furo (domestic ferret). Its description in RNAcentral is "lncRNA (ENSMPUG00000029330.1)". Lineage: Eukaryota; Metazoa; Chordata; Mammalia; Carnivora; Mustelidae. The record is from RNAcentral.